RNAcentral lists this long non-coding RNA (339 nucleotides) under Mus caroli (Ryukyu mouse). RNAcentral describes it as "lncRNA (MGP_CAROLIEiJ_G0004846.1)". Lineage: Eukaryota; Metazoa; Chordata; Mammalia; Rodentia; Muridae. The record is from RNAcentral.
AGGGGGAAGAGACAGAGGCAGAGCAACAAUACUCAGGAAAGAAGUGGACAGAUGGCCGUAGCAGUGAUCAUCAUCACUUGUGCGGUUCUAUCAAUCUACCUAUGCAUUUCUACACCACCUCUCACCAGAGUGCUUGCCUCCUGUUCUCCCUAAGCAAUGAGGUUAAUAUUGAAGAACCGGGUACAUCCAUGGUGCUUGCAGCAUCCAGGCGGAGAGAACAGAACCCAUCUACGAAGCAUCAGCUUCCACAUCCUAACCACAUCCCUGUCCUUUAUUUCUUUCCCACAAUGUAAGGGCAAUAAAGAUUAACCUAUCUACUUAAGUUUUGUAAUUACAGUU